This 23-nucleotide non-coding RNA is filed under the name Arabidopsis thaliana (thale cress). The record is from RNAcentral. Lineage: Eukaryota; Viridiplantae; Streptophyta; Magnoliopsida; Brassicales; Brassicaceae.
CCGAAUUUUCGGGUAAAUAGCCA